Molecule: ribosomal RNA, 530 nt
Filed under: uncultured Lachnospiraceae bacterium
Lineage: Bacteria; Bacillati; Bacillota; Clostridia; Lachnospirales; Lachnospiraceae
Description: bacterial SSU rRNA
Rfam family: Bacterial small subunit ribosomal RNA
Source: RNAcentral
CGGCUGCUAAUACCGCAUAAGCGCACAGAAUCGCAUGAUUCAGUGUGAAAAGCCCUGGCAGUAUAGGAUGGUCCCGCGUCUGAUUAGCUGGUUGGUGAGGUAACGGCUCACCAAGGCGACGAUCAGUAGCCGGCUUGAGAGAGUGAACGGCCACAUUGGGACUGAGACACGGCCCAAACUCCUACGGGAGGCAGCAGUGGGGAAUAUUGCACAAUGGGGGAAACCCUGAUGCAGCGACGCCGCGUGAGUGAAGAAGUAUUUCGGUAUGUAAAGCUCUAUCAGCAGGGAAGAAAACAGACGGUACCUGACUAAGAAGCCCCGGCUAACUACGUGCCAGCAGCCGCGGUAAUACGUAGGGGGCAAGCGUUAUCCGGAAUUACCGGGUGUAAAGGGUGCGUAGGUGGCAUGGUAAGUCAGAAGUGAAAGCCCGGGGCUUAANCCCCGGGACUGCUUUUGAAACUGUCAUGCUGGAGUGCAGGAGAGGUAAGCGGAAUUCCUAGUGUAGCGGUGAAAUGCGUAGAUAUUAGGAG